AAAAAAACAUUCGAAAUAUAUUCCAAUCCCAUAUAUCACGCAGAUUUUUCCAAAAUUUGAAAUAGAUUUCGACAACUAUUUAAAACAAAAAAUGUUUGACAACCCAAAAGACAAUUGCAAUCCCUUAAAAUGAGCGAAACGCAACUAAAUAUAUUUCUUAUCUAUUCACUAAAUCUUAUGUCUCCAAAAUUUGAACUACAUUUCGACAACUAUUUAAAACAAAAUUUUGUUUGACAAACUAAAACACAAUUGCAAUCCCGUAAAAUAUUUAUUUUAAUUAUAAAUUUAAAUUAGCGGGGUACCGCGGUUUAUUUUUACAGGACGAGUUUGGUGGAACGGGUUUAGAAGGACGUUACUUAAUAACAAUUAUAAACUAUAAAAUAAAAAUAUUUUAUAGAUAGACAUAAUUUGUAAAAUUUUAUAUAUACUAAUUUAAAAAAAUAAAUUGUCUCCGCGGUGUACCGCGGGUUAAAAUCUAGUUCAUUCUUUACAAUUCCAAAGUUUAUAACCGCAAAAAUGCAUACAAAAUGUAC
This 533-nucleotide small RNA is filed under the name Arabidopsis thaliana (thale cress). Its description in RNAcentral is "ATSL074610". The record is from RNAcentral. Lineage: Eukaryota; Viridiplantae; Streptophyta; Magnoliopsida; Brassicales; Brassicaceae.